GACCUCAAAUCAGGUAGGACUACCCGCUGAACUUAAGCAUAUCAAUAAGCGGAGGAAAAGAAACUAACAAGGAUUCCCCUAGUAACUGCGAGUGAAGCGGGAAAAGCUCAAAUUUAAAAUCUGGCAGUCUUCGAUUGUCCGAGUUGUAAUCUAGAGAAGCAUUAUCCGCGCUGGACCGUGUACAAGUCUCCUGGAAUGGAGCGUCAUAGAGGGUGAGAAUCCCGUCUUUGACACGGACUGCCAGGGCUUUGUGAUGUGCUCUCAAAGAGUCGAGUUGUUUGGGAAUGCAGCUCAAAAUGGGUGGUAAAUUCCAUCUAAAGCUAAAUAUUGGCGAGAGACCGAUAGCGAACAAGUACCGUGAGGGAAAGAUGAAAAGAACUUUGGAAAGAGAGUUAAACAGUACGUGAAAUUGCUGAAAGGGAAACGCUUGAAGUCAGUCGCGUUGUCCGGGAAUCAACCUUGCUUUUGCUGGGCGUACUUCCUGGUCAACGGGUCAGCAUCAAUUUUGACCGUUGGAUAAAGUUGCUGGGAAUGUGGCAUCUUCGGAUGUGUUAUAGCCCAGUUUCGCAUACAACGGUUGGGAUUGAGGAACUCAGCACGCCGCAAGGCCGGGUUUUUAACCACGUUCGUGCUUAGGAUGCUGGCAUAAUGGCUUUAAUCGACCCGUCUUGAAACACGGACCAAGGAGUCUAACAUGCCUGCGAGUGUUUGGGUGGAAAACCCGAGCGCGUAAUGAAAGUGAAAGUUGAGAUCCCUGUCGUGGGGAGCAUCGACGCCCGGACUUGAACUUCUGUGACGGAUCCGCGGUAGAGCAUGUAUGUUGGGACCCGAAAGAUGGUGAACUAUGCCUGAAUAGGGUGAAGCCAGAGGAAACUCUGGUGGAGGCUCGUAGCGAUUCUGACGUGCAAAUCGAUCGUCAAAUUUGGGUAUAGGGGCGAAAGACUAAUCGAACCAUCUAGUAGCUGGUUCC
Molecule: ribosomal RNA, 970 nt
Filed under: Panaeolus sphinctrinus
Lineage: Eukaryota; Fungi; Basidiomycota; Agaricomycetes; Agaricales
Description: LSU rRNA
Rfam family: Eukaryotic large subunit ribosomal RNA
Source: RNAcentral